Molecule: ribosomal RNA, 496 nt
Filed under: uncultured bacterium
Lineage: Bacteria
Description: partial 16S ribosomal RNA
Rfam family: Bacterial small subunit ribosomal RNA
Source: RNAcentral
AUGAACGCUGGCGGCGUGCCUAAUACAUGCAAGUCGCGCGAACAGAUAAGGAGCUUGCUCCUUUGACGUUAGCGGCGGACGGGUGAGUAACACGUGGAUAACCUACCUAUAAGACUGGGAUAACUUCGGGAAACCGGAGCUAAUACCGGAUAACAUAUUGAACCGCAUGGUUCAAUAGUGAAAGGCGGCUUUGCUGUCACUUAUAGAUGGAUCCGCGCCGUAUUAGCUAGUUGGUAAGGUAACGGCUUACCAAGGCAACGAUACGUAGCCGACCUGAGAGGGUGAUCGGCCACACUGGAACUGAGACACGGUCCAGACUCCUACGGGAGGCAGCAGUAGGGAAUCUUCCGCAAUGGGCGAAAGCCUGACGGAGCAACGCCGCGUGAGUGAUGAAGGUCUUCGGAUCGUAAAACUCUGUUAUCAGGGAAGAACAAAUGUGUAAGUAACUGUGCACAUCUUGACGGUACCUGAUCAGAAAGCCACGGCUAACUACGUG